GGGAAGGUGGCUCAGUGGUAGAGUGUUUACCUUACAUGCAUGAGGCCCUGAGUUCGAUUCCUCAGCUCCA
This 70-nucleotide transfer RNA is filed under the name Dipodomys ordii (Ord's kangaroo rat). It matches the Rfam family "tRNA". Rfam says of the family: Transfer RNA (tRNA) molecules are approximately 80 nucleotides in length. Their secondary structure includes four short double-helical elements and three loops (D, anti-codon, and T loops). Further hydrogen bonds mediate the characteristic L-shaped molecular structure. tRNAs have two regions of fundamental functional importance: the anti-codon, which is responsible for specific mRNA codon recognition, and the 3' end, to which the tRNAs corresponding amino acid is attached (by aminoacyl-tRNA synthetases). tRNAs cope with the degeneracy of the genetic code in two manners: having more than one tRNA (with a specific anti-codon) for a particular amino acid; and 'wobble' base-pairing, i.e. permitting non-standard base-pairing at the 3rd anti-codon position. The record is from Rfam by way of RNAcentral. Lineage: Eukaryota; Metazoa; Chordata; Mammalia; Rodentia; Heteromyidae.